RNAcentral lists this unclassified non-coding RNA (292 nucleotides) under uncultured fungus. Its description in RNAcentral is "partial contains small subunit ribosomal RNA, internal transcribed spacer 1, and 5.8S ribosomal RNA". The stretch from base 1 to 73 matches the Rfam family "Eukaryotic small subunit ribosomal RNA", at positions 1759 to 1831 of the family's 1831-position model. The record is from RNAcentral. Lineage: Eukaryota; Fungi.
UCAAACUUGGUCAUUUAGAGGAAGUAAAAGUCGUAACAAGGUCUCCGUAGGUGAACCUGCGGAGGGAUCAUUACAGAGUGCUUGCCCUCGGGCAGACCUCCCACCCCCUGUCAUCGCUACGACCGUUGCUUUGGCGGGCCGCCCGGGCCAGCCCCGGCCGCCGGCCCCGGCCGGCGCGCGCCCGCCAGAGGCCCCACAGACCCUGGACAUCGGCGUCGUCUGAGUGAGCACCGAAUAAGUCAAAACUUUCAACAACGGAUCUCUUGGUUCUGGCAUCGAUGAAGAACGCAGC